Molecule: non-coding RNA, 875 nt
Organism: Camellia sinensis
Lineage: Eukaryota; Viridiplantae; Streptophyta; Magnoliopsida; Ericales; Theaceae
Source: RefSeq, a predicted model, not a curated record
AUUCCAUCAUCCAUAGAUAUUUUUUGCCCCAAACAAAACCAAUUGAGAACAAAACAAAACCCUAAUCUCACUCUCAUCUCACUGAGGGAGAGCUCUCUUCAUCUUCUUAUCUCAUCUCUCUCGUUUUUCAUCUGCGACGUUCGACCUUCGCAAUGACUGUCUUUUUCUCUCCGGCAACUCUGAGGCAAUCAGAUCUGUCUCACCCUCUCUCGUUUUUCAGCUGCACAACUCGCACCGAUCGACCUUCAUCUUCUUAUCUCUCUCUUCUCGAUCUGUGUUUUUGUUUUUGACUGCAAGUUUGGGUCUAUUAAAAUAAUAAUAAUAAAUAAACAAGUCUUUGGUUUACAUUUGCAAGUAAACUUUAAUUUGAGUACCCGCAUAUACGCUUUGCUGUUUUUGUUUCAAAAUUUCGUUCAUAGUCUGAUCUAAACAAUUUGUUUGAUUAGAAGUUCUACAAUUUGUUCAUGAGAAGUGUAUAUUGUGUUUGAAUUUUCAUUUGUUAAAAAAAUAAGUAAUAAAAUUGUUGGGGGAAAUAAAAAGUGAAAACAAAUUUACUUCACAAAGUGUACAAAGAAACUGGAUCUUAAGUUUUUUUCCAUUUAAAAAAUAAAAUUUGAUUUGUUAAUAAUUCGUAGGGUGUGUUUCACGCUAACUUUUCUUGGUGUAAGAAAAAGCUGAUGAGUUCAAAAUCUUAUGAAUCUCAAAGAAAUCAUAUGAUAUUGCCAAAGUGGAUUGAAUUUGGUGGGUGGGUUUGUCUGUUUGAAUUUUAAUUGAAUUUUAGAAGUGGAUAUUGAAUCUGAAAUUUGCUAUUUUGGUUCUGCUAUUCUGCUGCUAUUAUGUUAUAUUUAAAUUGAGUCUGAAUUUUUUUCUUCAAA